UACGGGGGGAGCAAGCGUUGUUCGGAUUUACUGGGCGUAAAGGGCGCGUAGGCGGCCACCUCAAGUCAGUUGUGAAAUCUCUGGGCUUAACCCAGAACGGUCAGCUGAUACUGCGGGGCUAGAGUGCAGAAGGGGCAACUGGAAUUCUCGGUGUAGCGGUGAAAUGCGUAGAUAUCGAGAGGAGCACCUGCGGCGAAGGCGGGUUGCUGGGCUGACACUGACGCUGACAGCGCGAAAGCUAGGGGAGCGAACGGG
Molecule: ribosomal RNA, 255 nt
Filed under: uncultured bacterium
Lineage: Bacteria
Description: partial 16S ribosomal RNA
Rfam family: Bacterial small subunit ribosomal RNA
Source: RNAcentral